RNAcentral lists this small nuclear RNA (19 nucleotides) under Arabidopsis thaliana (thale cress). Its description in RNAcentral is "snRNA_18092". Lineage: Eukaryota; Viridiplantae; Streptophyta; Magnoliopsida; Brassicales; Brassicaceae. The record is from RNAcentral.
CCAUUGCUCUCCGAAGAGU